RNAcentral lists this ribosomal RNA (497 nucleotides) under uncultured bacterium. RNAcentral describes it as "partial 16S ribosomal RNA". It matches the Rfam family "Bacterial small subunit ribosomal RNA", at positions 28 to 507 of the family's 1533-position model. The record is from RNAcentral.
GAUGAACGCUGGCGGCGUGCCUAAUACAUGCAAGUCGAGCGAACAGACGAGGAGCUUGCUCCUCUGACGUUAGCGGCGGACGGGUGAGUAACACGUGGAUAACCUACCUAUAAGACUGGGAUAACUUCGGGAAACCGGAGAUAAUACCGGAUAAUAUAUUGAACCGCAGGGAUCAAUAGUGAAAGACGGUUUUGCUGUCACUUAUAGAUGGAUCCGCGCCGCAUUAGCUAGUUGGUAAGGUAACGGCUUACCAAGGCAACGAUGCGUAGCCGACCUGAGAGGAUGAUCGGCCACACUGGAACUGAGACACGGUCCAGACUCCUACGGGAGGCAGCAGUAGGGAAUCUUCCGCAAUGGGCGAAAGCCUGACGGAGCAACGCCGCGUGAGUGAUGAAGGUCUUCGGAUCGUAAAACUCUGUUAUUAGGGAAGAACAAAUGUGUAAGUAACUAUGCACGUCUUGACGGUACCUAAUCAGAAAGCCACGGCUAACUACGUG